RNAcentral lists this ribosomal RNA (253 nucleotides) under uncultured bacterium. Its description in RNAcentral is "partial 16S ribosomal RNA". It matches the Rfam family "Bacterial small subunit ribosomal RNA", at positions 524 to 776 of the family's 1533-position model. The record is from RNAcentral.
UACGGAGGGUGCAAGCGUUGUCCGGAAUCACUGGGCGUAAAGGGCGCGUAGGCGGCCCGGUAAGUAGGGGGUGAAAUCCUGCGGCUUAACCGCAGGGCUGCCUUCUAAACUGUCGGGCUCGAGCACGGUAGAGGCAGAUGGAAUUCCCGGUGUAGCGGUGGAAUGCGUAGAGAUCGGGAAGAACAUCAGUGGCGAAGGCGGUCUGCUGGGCCGUUGCUGACGCUGAGGAGCGAAAGCGUGGGGAGCGAACAGG